GCCAGCAGCCAUAUCACCCUGCAACUCACAACCGGUAACCCACUGAAGCUAAGCAGGUGUGAGCCUGGUCAGUACCUGGAUGUGAGACCACCUGGGAAAAACUAAGGUUGCUGCUAGAA
Ribosomal RNA from Lepisosteus oculatus (spotted gar), 119 nucleotides. NCBI's taxonomy places the organism in Eukaryota, Metazoa, Chordata, Actinopteri, Semionotiformes, Lepisosteidae. The record is from Ensembl.